CUAAUACUGACGCUGAGGUACGAAAGCAUGGGGAGCAAACAGGAUUAGAUACCCUGGUAGUCCAUGCCGUAAACGAUGUCUACUAGCCGUUGGGGCCUUUGAGGCUUUAGUGGCGCAGCUAACGCGAUAAAGUAGACCGCCUGGGGAGUACGGUCGCAAGACUAAAACUCAAAUGAAUUGACGGGGGCCCGCACAAGCGGUGGAGCAUGUGGUUUAAUUCGAUGCAACGCGAAGAACCUUACCUGGCCUUGACAUACUAGAAACUUUCCAGAGAUGGAUUGGUGCCUUCGGGAAUCUAGAUACAGGUGCUGCAUGGCUGUCGUCAGCUCGUGUCGUGAGAUGUUGGGGUUAAGUCCCGCAACGAGCGCAACCCUUUUCCUUACUUGCCAGCAUUUCGGAUGGGAACUUUAAGGAUACUGCCAGUGACAAACUGGAGGAAG
RNAcentral lists this ribosomal RNA (440 nucleotides) under Acinetobacter baumannii OIFC143. RNAcentral's name for it is "bacterial SSU rRNA". It matches the Rfam family "Bacterial small subunit ribosomal RNA", at positions 734 to 1172 of the family's 1533-position model. Lineage: Bacteria; Pseudomonadati; Pseudomonadota; Gammaproteobacteria; Moraxellales; Moraxellaceae. The record is from RNAcentral.